CUUGUUUCUAAGUUACCUUUUGCUUUUUAGCUAAGAAAGUACUGAUAUUGCAUUGAAAGCAACAACUUAAGCUAUGAUGAAAUUCCUGCUUCUCUCUGUCCUCCUGGUUGCGUUUGUCGUUUCUUGCUACGCAUAUUCUUAUUCCAAGUCCUGUUACAUCAAUGACGAAGGCAGGGAGAUCUGCGACGUUGAUGAAAAUCCGAACGGAGGCUCUUCAUCCUCUUACGCCUCAUCCGGAGGAGGACGACGAGGAGAAGGACGAGCAUGGGCUGGACCCUUUGUUCCUUCUCCCUAUGGAUUCUUCAUGUAUCGAUAAGACGUGCAGCCAGAAGUGACUUCAAGGUAUCCGAUAGUACUCAAAUCCAAUUAUACUGUAAAAACAGAUUGUAAAAUUUCAAAAUAAAAAUCAUUAAAGCAUUAUUUUUUGAUCCACUUUUUUUUCUUCAUCAUGUGUUCCUAAUGGGAGAUACCACAGAAAAUCUAUGGGCAGCAACAGCAAAUAUGAAAAAACGGAAGUCAUAACUUCCGGAUUUGGCUACUGGCAUGAUCAGCUAUUCUAAACUAGUGAAUUAUUUCAGAGCCGAGAUUAUAUGCAAGCGCACAUAAUCACCACCUUUUCUGUAUUAUAUAUAGCCAAUCCAAUGCUCCAAGUUAAAAGUUUUGAGAAAUAAAAUAUGAAUGUGGCAUAAUUGAUCGAAUCAUAAGGGCCGUUUCCAUGGACACUUUCGACCCCGGAAAAAACCUGCUUUUCACCGCAUUCCGGUUAUUAGCGGGUUUUAUGUGGAAUCUUUCGACUCCUGCUAGCUUCUGGUGAAAGCGGUGUUUCUACCCGGAAUGCAUUACGCGGUCUACUAGCCGCUAAGGAUGCUGGGUAAAAACCGCUUUCUCUGGUAUAAUGGGAGAACCUCCAUGUUAAUCUAGAAAAAGUAGUUAUCUGCAUAGUCUCGAAAGUUUUUGAAAUAUCAGUUUAAUGCUUUUUCUUGUCAAAAACUCACACUAAAUUAGCUAAUUUAACUGGUACGUGGUGGCUUAUAAACACGAUAGAAUCAUUAGCGACACAUCAUAAAAAUUUUAUACUUUAUAAGACAAAUUUCCGAACUUAAAUAUGCAUUAUAGAUUUAGAUUUAAAAAAACCUAACCUGAUCGCAUCACAUCAUAUUUUCUUGCGCGUAUUGUAAUAUUUAAGAGUAAAACU
Long non-coding RNA from Uloborus diversus, 1195 nucleotides. RefSeq lists it as uncharacterized. Lineage: Eukaryota; Metazoa; Arthropoda; Arachnida; Araneae; Uloboridae. The transcript is spliced from 3 exons. The record is from RefSeq and is a predicted model, not a curated record.